CGGACGUGAGGAAACUUCCGCGGGCGGAGGGGUCGCCAUGGCGGCAAAAAGUCCUCCUGAUAGUACUCCAAGAAGGCCUGUUUUAUCUGUCAGUGCAAGAAAAAUUAAAGAUAAUGCAGCAGACUGGCAUAAUUUAAUGAUGAAAUGGGAGAGACUGAAUGAUAAUGGAUUUACUACAGCAAACAAAAUAGUCAACAUGAGGAUCAGUGAGCAAUUUCAGGACAACAAACUGGAGAUAGCAUGUGAUAACAGUGCCACAGAACCUGAAAAGCCAACCCCAAAAUACAAUGAAGAGCUGGACAAUUGCUGUGCAGAAUUACUUGAGACCUUAAAGCAAAUGACAAAAAUACAGAUGAAAAUGGAAAAGCUUACUUCAACUACUAAAGCAAUCUGUGACUUGGAAACAUUCCACCAUGGAGCUGGGAAUUGCAAGGCUCCCUUCUUUCAUACAUGGCCCACAUCAUACUUCUAUGAGGUUUGUCUGAAGCUGUCUGAAAUGUACAAGAAGGAGCUACAACUCAAACAAACAAUUGUACAAGACAUUGCUCAUUCUGCUGACCAGGAUCUGAUGAUGGUGUAUUUAUCCUCGUGGCUGUACCAGCCUUACAUUGACAACAGCAGCACGCUGCUGCUCGAAGCCAUGCUGCUGGAAACAGGACACAGGCAGUGCUAGAAUUCCAGAGCUUACAUGGCUGCCUUCUAGGGGUGCUAAUAUGAAACUGAACUGGCAUGUUGCAAGGCUUACCAACUGAUGAUAUUUUGGACUGUGGCCAUUUUCUGCACUCGUCGUUAGGCCAGUGCUCUGCCUGGCCCCUGCCUGCUCCAUCAGGGAGCUGUGGAGCUCAGGAGCUGCCGGUGCCCCCGCUGUGCUCCCGCUCACAAAGCGCGCCUGGACCGGCCCGGCCGAGCCUCCUUCUGCCACAGGCAGCACCACUCCGGGGUGCAGCAGGGACCCUUCACCUGCCAGGCCUGCUCCCUGCAUCCCUGCAGGCUGGGGAUACUCCAUCCUCAUUUCCACAGUCUGGGAGAAGGUACCUGAAUUUGCACCAUCGAUUCCAACUCCUGAAUCAGCAAGCUUGGUGUACUUGCUGAACUGGCUGCAGCCACGGUAGGUUUUGGAGACCUUGAAGCUGAUGCUGUGGCACAAGAAGCCCUCUGUCCAUUCACCAUCUUGGAUGGGGGAAUCUUGUCCCCAGACCCUGCCCCGUGAGAUGGGAAAGGCCUCUGCAUAAGCAGCUGAACCGGAGACUCAGAAGAACUAUGCAGGAGUAGCUGCUGCUGCUCAGUUCCUGAAACAGGCUGUAUCCUAAUUAUCUGGGGAUUAAUAAUGCCAACUCCUGGUAUGCUGGAUUUCCUACCAACUGGCUGACUCAGCGUUAUAGUUUUGGACUGGAUUGGUGCCAAUGAUGUCAUUGGCCCUUCAGUUUCCUUCAUCUGUCCUGGCUGAACUUGGACACAAAUGGCUUCCAGCUGCUUUUGUGGAAAAAAAGGAAGAGUUGCAAUUACACAAAUGUAUUUAUUUAUUAAUAAAUAAAUACAGUAUUUAUUGAGAUAA
Molecule: RNA transcript, 1555 nt
Organism: Melospiza melodia melodia
Lineage: Eukaryota; Metazoa; Chordata; Aves; Passeriformes; Passerellidae
Gene: CINP
Gene name: cyclin dependent kinase 2 interacting protein
Exons: 7
Source: RefSeq, a predicted model, not a curated record